UGGCGAUGAUGAAGACGACAGUCAUGCACCACGCUGAUGAGGAAUUCUCCUCGAAUGUGCUGACGACAAAGUCUUGUACCCAUUUUUCUCUCUGAGUCU
Molecule: non-coding RNA, 99 nt
Organism: Musa acuminata subsp. malaccensis (wild Malaysian banana)
Lineage: Eukaryota; Viridiplantae; Streptophyta; Magnoliopsida; Zingiberales; Musaceae
Source: Rfam